This 253-nucleotide ribosomal RNA is filed under the name uncultured bacterium. Its description in RNAcentral is "partial 16S ribosomal RNA". It matches the Rfam family "Bacterial small subunit ribosomal RNA", at positions 524 to 776 of the family's 1533-position model. The record is from RNAcentral.
UACAGAGGUCUCAAGCGUUGUUCGGAUUCAUUGGGCGUAAAGGGCGCGUAGGCGGCCUGAUAAGUCGGGGGUGAAAGCCUGUGGCUCAACCACAGAAUUGCCUUCGAUACUGUUAGGCUUGAGACCGGAAGAGGUAAGUGGAACUGCGAGUGUAGAGGUGAAAUUCGUAGAUAUUCGCAAGAACACCAGUGGCGAAGGCGGCUUACUGGUCCGGUUCUGACGCUGAGGCGCGAAAGCUAGGGGAGCAAACGGG